This 87-nucleotide non-coding RNA is filed under the name uncultured Methylobacterium sp. RNAcentral describes it as "Glycine riboswitch". It matches the Rfam family "Glycine riboswitch aptamer", at positions 9 to 86 of the family's 94-position model. From Rfam's summary of the family: This family represents the bacterial glycine riboswitch. Glycine riboswitches usually consist of two metabolite-binding aptamers domains with similar structures in tandem. Lineage: Bacteria; Pseudomonadati; Pseudomonadota; Alphaproteobacteria; Hyphomicrobiales; Methylobacteriaceae. The record is from RNAcentral.
AUACGGGAGAGCCCAAGCUCAUCGUAAGAUGAGUUAUGGCGCCGACGGAGCAACCACCCCCGGAAACUCUCAGGCACAAUCACCGUA